RNAcentral lists this transfer RNA (66 nucleotides) under Lamprotula leaii. RNAcentral's name for it is "tRNA-Leu". Lineage: Eukaryota; Metazoa; Mollusca; Bivalvia; Unionida; Unionidae. The record is from RNAcentral.
CACAAAUCAAGCCACACCGGCUACAUACCCGCAAGUUAGUAUACUUAAUACUUUUAACUUAGGCUU